RNAcentral lists this unclassified non-coding RNA (608 nucleotides) under Athalia rosae (coleseed sawfly). RNAcentral's name for it is "misc RNA ENSAEAG00005002661.1". The record is from RNAcentral. Lineage: Eukaryota; Metazoa; Arthropoda; Insecta; Hymenoptera; Athaliidae.
AUACGGACUUUUCAUUCUCUCGUUGAUCGCCAAGCCACAAUUCUCACGAACGGAGGGCAGUUCCGUUCCUUCUCUGUACCGUCGAUGUACACGGUUAUAUAGGAUACGGUAUUAUAUUCGUGUCGUAAACCUGCGGUAGUAAAGAGUUUUAGAAACCGCGUAUACAGAGUCGAAAUUCAAAACAACGACAACGUCAAACGAGGAAUAUAAUUAUGACAACGACGAGCGAUCUAUCGAUUACUCCGAAGGGAAGUAAUCCGGCAGCCCGCGAAAUGAAAUGAGAAUAAAAAACGGAAGCUCCUUCGUUCGCAAGAGAGCUUAGAAACAAACGAACGAUGAAAUCUGCCAAGUCCUGAUCCGGUUGCGGUUCCAGCCGAGCUCUACUCUUUGAACGCUUACUAAAUAUAUACCUGUACAUACCUGCCACCGGUACGUAAACCGCAUUUUUUUUCGUCACGUUGUACCUGCUACGGUGUAGCGUUGUGACUGGAAUAGAUAAAUUCCGAAAUUUCUCUCGAACGGAGAGAAAAGGAUAAGAAACGAAAGAAACUAGAAUAGCUUCGGGUGAGAAACCAGAAGAGGGAGGUAGAGAGAGAGAGAGAGAGAGA